RNAcentral lists this microRNA precursor (145 nucleotides) under Physcomitrium patens. Its description in RNAcentral is "Physcomitrella patens miR1034 stem-loop (ppt-MIR1034)". Lineage: Eukaryota; Viridiplantae; Streptophyta; Bryopsida; Funariales; Funariaceae. The record is from miRBase by way of RNAcentral.
GCGUUUCAAGGCUCAUAACCUCAUUCUUGCAAGCACUACGCUGCCAAAGUCAUGACUGUCUUCCUUGCAGAAGCGACUGCAAUGUCGAUAUUCAUUACUUUGGCAGCGCUGUGCUUGCCGAAUUAAGCCUUUGAGUGUUCGUAGA